UGCGCAGGCGGCCGGGUGUGUGAGGCGUGAAAGCCUGGAGCUCAACUCCAGAAUUGCACCUCAAACUACACGGCUAGAGCAUUGGAGAGGGUAGCAGAAUUCACGGUGUAGCAGUGAAAUGCGUAGAUAUCGUGAGGAAUACCAGAGGCGAAGGCGGCUACCUGGACAAUUGCUGACGCUCAGGCACGAAAGCGUGGGGAGCAAAAGGGAUUAGAUACCCCUGUAGUCCACGCCCUAAACGGUGCAUACUAGGUCUUGGCGGAUUCGCCCCAUCAGGGCCCAAGCUAACGCGUUAAGUUUGCCGCCUGAGGACUACGGCCGCAAGGCUAAA
This 331-nucleotide ribosomal RNA is filed under the name uncultured bacterium. RNAcentral describes it as "bacterial SSU rRNA". It matches the Rfam family "Bacterial small subunit ribosomal RNA", at positions 568 to 898 of the family's 1533-position model. The record is from RNAcentral.